This 200-nucleotide non-coding RNA is filed under the name unclassified sequences. The record is from Rfam.
UCCAGAUAAACUUGUAUUCACCCAAGAGAGUGGAGCAAGUCACUUUACGGAAUUAUAACAAGUAACACAUUUCAGGAUUGCCAAAUGCUUACAUAUAAGUGAAAUCUUGAAAUGCCAGGAUAACCGUAUGUCCUUUAACAUAUUUUGUGUUAUAAAAAUAAUCUUGAAUAACUUUAGUUAAGUUUUCGAGUUACGAUGAG